This is a long non-coding RNA of Helianthus annuus (common sunflower), 1521 nucleotides long. RefSeq lists it as uncharacterized. Lineage: Eukaryota; Viridiplantae; Streptophyta; Magnoliopsida; Asterales; Asteraceae. The record is from RefSeq and is a predicted model, not a curated record. The transcript is spliced from 4 exons.
ACCAUGGAUGCAGAUUGUUAUCGUAAGAUGAAAAAGUCGCUACACAUGGGAACACUCUUAUUAUAGAUGCUUUUGAUGGUCCUAAUUACGCACACAUUGAUACAUUUAUCUCUUUAGCUGAAGUAUCUGUUUGCUUAGCUCAUACAUUUCAAGGAUAGUAAUCCGUAUAAAAUCUCAUAAGUAGAAGGGUGGAAGGCUUUGGACUCCGCAGCUUUGUGUACACUAGGAGCACUUGCAUUAGCCACUGAACCUCCUACCAAUGAAUUGAUGGAACGACAACUGGACCGAAUUAAUGGAAAAAAAAAAGAAAACAAUCGGUGAUGGGUUAAAAGAGGUAAAAUUUUGUUACACUUCAGGUCAGUCCGAGUUAACCCUAAACAUAUAUCAAUGUUUCCGGAGGUUUAUAAGUACUUAGUGUAUUAAACAUAUCACAAACAUUUCCGGAGGUUUGUAAGCAUUUGGAUACGCUAUAGGUGAUUUUCAACACAUGACUUUUAACUGAUUUUAAUUUUUUUAAUCCAUUUGCUUUGUUGAAUAUAAAAUACAAGCUCAAAAUCGACUACUUCUAUGUAUUUUUGUACUUUCGCGACUUUGGAUGAGAUUAAUCAUAUGACCUAUUUUGCAUUUCAGUUUAAGCUUUUGAAUUUUAGGUAAAUAGUUCGAAAAUGUCGCGUCACUAUUAUAUUAAGUAAGAUGGCUUUGGACAACUGGAAGAGACUUUACUCCAACACCAAAACUAACUUCCAUGAGGUUGCGAUCAAAGCUAUAAUAUUUUUAACUGUCAAAACGACUGAGGAUGAAGGAACACAAAGUUCUCUUAAUUGUUUUGGGAAUUGGUUUAGUUUUCGAUUGAUUGGUGGCAGGCCGGAAUCAUCCUCUACUACAUGCUUACCGACGGAUUUUCUGAUCAAUUAGCAAAAUUAGUUUAGUCGGUGGUCUAAAUGUCAACUACCAAUCAAGGCACUGGCGAACGUACGUUUCUAGAUCCACUUUGUGGCGAAGGCUACUCGUUAGAUGGGACAAGAUUGUGAUAGUGGUGAUGAAUGAGGUUCGUUUUAGCACAGUCCAUAUCUAGCUGAAUCUGUUACUAGAGGAACUCCUGCUGUGAAUAGGCGGGUCAGGAAAGUCAGCUUAGACCAAGUUGCUCAACUUCCAAGUCUAUAAUGUAUCUGGUUAUGACUUGAACAUUGAUAUAGAUCCAACAAUGGAAGACAGUUACGUUUUUCGUAUUUAGUAUGAUAGUUUCGGUUCUUACCACUUGAUCUUUGUUUGCCUUGUGUUACAUUGUUAGUGCCAAACAUAUGAACAUCGCCAGGCUUAUAGCUGUUUUAACUUAAAAAUUAGAGUACGAUGCCAUUUUCGUCCCUGAGAUUUUGGCCACUUUUGUGACUUUCGUCCAAAGGUUUGUUUUUCCGCAUCUGGAUCCAAAAGGUUUGAAAUCUUGCCAUUUUUCAUCCGACUCAUUAACUCCAUCCGUUUUUCUCCAUUAAAUGAGGGGCAUUUCUGUCUUUUUAUGCAUUU